RNAcentral lists this unclassified non-coding RNA (331 nucleotides) under soil metagenome. RNAcentral describes it as "partial contains 5.8S ribosomal RNA, internal transcribed spacer 2, and large subunit ribosomal RNA". The stretch from base 1 to 120 matches the Rfam family "5.8S ribosomal RNA", at positions 35 to 154 of the family's 154-position model. The record is from RNAcentral.
GAUGAAGAACGCAGCGAAAUGCGAUAAGUAAUGUGAAUUGCAGAAUUCAGUGAAUCAUCGAAUCUUUGAACGCACAUUGCGCCCCCUGGUAUUCCGGGGGGCAUGCCUGUUCGAGCGUCAUUUCACCACUCAAGCCUCGCUCGGUAUUGGGCAACGCGGUCCGCCGCGUGCCUCAAAUCGACCGGCUGGGUCUUCUGUCCCCUAAGCGUUGUGGAAACUAUUCGCUAAAGGGUGUUCGGGAGGCUACGCCGUAAAACAACCCCAUUUCUAAGGUUGACCUCGGAUCAGGUAGGGAUACCCGCUGAACUUAAGCAUAUCAAUAAGCGGAGGA